This 555-nucleotide ribosomal RNA is filed under the name uncultured bacterium. RNAcentral's name for it is "partial 16S ribosomal RNA". It matches the Rfam family "Bacterial small subunit ribosomal RNA", at positions 355 to 901 of the family's 1533-position model. The record is from RNAcentral.
UGGGGAAUAUUGCACAAUGGGCGCAAGCCUGAUGCAGCCAUGCCGCGUGUGUGAAGAAGGCCUUCGGGUUGUAAAGCACUUUCAGCGAGGAGGAAGGUGGUGAGCUUAAUACGCUCAUCAAUUGACGUUACUCGCAGAAGAAGCACCGGCUAACUCCGUGCCAGCAGCCGCGGUAAUACGGAGGGUGCAAGCGUUAAUCGGAAUUACUGGGCGUAAAGCGCACGCAGGCGGUUUGUUAAGUCAGAUGUGAAAUCCCCGGGCUCAACCUGGGAACUGCAUUUGAAACUGGCAAGCUAGAGUCUCGUAGAGGGGGGUAGAAUUCCAGGUGUAGCGGUGAAAUGCGUAGAGAUCUGGAGGAAUACCGGUGGCGAAGGCGGCCCCCUGGACGAAGACUGACGCUCAGGUGCGAAAGCGUGGGGCAGCAAACAGGAUUAGAUACCCUGGUAGUCCACGCUGUAAACGAUGUCGAUUUGGAGGUUGUCGCCCUUGAGGCGUGGCUUCGGAGCUAACGCGUUAAAUCGACCGCCUGGGGAGUACGGCCGCAAGGUUAAAACU